UACAGAGGGUGCGAGCGUUGUCCGGAAUCACUGGGCGUAAAGGGCGCGUAGGCGGCCUGAUAAGUCGGGGGUGAAAUCCUGUGGCUUAACUGCAGGGCUGCCUCCUAGACUGUUAGGCUCGAGCACGGUAGAGGCAGAUGGAAUUCCCGGUGUAGCGGUGGAAUGCGUAGAGAUCGGGAAGAACAUCGGUGGCGAAGGCGGUCUGCUGGGCCGUUGCUGACGCUGAGGCGCGACAGCGUGGGGAGCAAACAGG
Molecule: ribosomal RNA, 253 nt
Filed under: uncultured bacterium
Lineage: Bacteria
Description: partial 16S ribosomal RNA
Rfam family: Bacterial small subunit ribosomal RNA
Source: RNAcentral